GCCAUGGAGGACUAGUGGUUAGGCCACAGUGCUCUCACCACUGCAGCCCAGGUUCGAUUCCUGGCCAGGGAA
This 72-nucleotide transfer RNA is filed under the name Pangasianodon hypophthalmus (striped catfish). It matches the Rfam family "tRNA". From Rfam's summary of the family: Transfer RNA (tRNA) molecules are approximately 80 nucleotides in length. The record is from Rfam by way of RNAcentral. Lineage: Eukaryota; Metazoa; Chordata; Actinopteri; Siluriformes; Pangasiidae.